RNAcentral lists this ribosomal RNA (274 nucleotides) under uncultured bacterium. Its description in RNAcentral is "partial 16S ribosomal RNA". It matches the Rfam family "Bacterial small subunit ribosomal RNA", at positions 523 to 796 of the family's 1533-position model. The record is from RNAcentral.
AUACGGAGGGUGCGAGCGUUACUGGGAGUCACUGGGCGUAAAGCGUCCGUAGGCGGUCGGGUAAGUCGGGUGAGAAAGCCCCGGGCUCAACCUGGGAAGUGCACCCGAUACUGCUCGACUCGAGUGCGGGAGAGGAUGGCGGAAUUCCCGGUGUAGCGGUGAAAUGCGUAGAGAUCGGGAGGAACACCAGUGGCGAAGGCGGCCAUCUGGCCCGCAACUGACGCUGAGGGACGAAAGCGUGGGGAGCAAACAGGAUUAGAAACCCCAGUAGUCC